This 234-nucleotide long non-coding RNA is filed under the name Elaeis guineensis (African oil palm). RNAcentral describes it as "long non-coding RNA (EGUI_LNC071856)". The record is from RNAcentral. Lineage: Eukaryota; Viridiplantae; Streptophyta; Magnoliopsida; Arecales; Arecaceae.
AUUUUACAUAAGCUCGACAUCCCAAACAUCAAAGUAAGAGAGUAUCAAAUUAUCCAAGUCCAUAUCCCAUAUGGAGUUUUGAUAAUCGAUUUGCUCAAAAUAUUCUCGAGCACAUAUCAAGUAGUCUCUAAAAUAAAACCUCAGACAGAUUAGCAAACUCCAUAGUGGAUCAAACCAUGUCUAACAAAGUUCAAUUCCUCUUUUCAGACAUCUUUUUAAAAAAAUGAUAUCCCA